GACGAACGCUGUCGGCGUGCUUAACACAUGCAAGUCGAACGGAAAGGCCCUGCUUUUGUGGGGUGCUCGAGUGGCGAACGGGUGAGUAACACGUGAGUAACCUGCCCUUGACUUUGGGAUAACUUCAGGAAACUGGGGCUAAUACCGGAUAGGAGCUCCUGCUGCAUGGUGGGGGUUGGAAAGUUUCGGCGGUUGGGGAUGGACUCGCGGCUUAUCAGCUUGUUGGUGGGGUAGUGGCUUACCAAGGCUUUGACGGGUAGCCGGCCUGAGAGGGUGACCGGCCACAUUGGGACUGAGAUACGGCCCAGACUCCUACGGGAGGCAGCAGUGGGGAAUAUUGCACAAUGGGCGGAAGCCUGUUGCAGCAACGCCGCGUGCGGGAUGACGGCCUUCGGGUUGUAAACCGCUUUCGCCUGUGACGAAGCGUGAGUGACGGUAAUGGGUAAAGAAGCACCGGCUAACUACGUGCCAGCAGCCGCGGUGAUACGUAGGGUGCGAGCGUUGUCCGGAUUUAUUGGGCGUAAAGGGCUCGUAGGUGGUUGAUCGCGUCGGAAGUGUAAUCUUGGGGCUUAACCCUGAGCGUGCUUUCGAUACGGGUUGACUUGAGGAAGGUAGGGGAGAAUGGAAUUCCCUGGUGGAGCGGUGGAAUGCGCAGAUAUCAGGAGGAACACCAGUGGCGAAGGCGGUUCUCUGGGCCUUUCCUGACGCUGAGGAGCGAAAGCGUGGGGAGCGAACAGGCUUAGAUACCCUGGUAGUCCACGCUGUAAACGGUGGGUACUAGGUGUGGGGUCCAUUCCACGGGUUCCGUGCCGUAGCUAACGCUUUAAGUACCCCGCCUGGGGAGUACGGCCGCAAGGCUAAAACUCAAAGGAAUUGACGGGGCCCCGCACAAGCGGCGGAGCAUGCGGAUUAAUUCGAUGCAACGCGUAGAACCUUACCUGGGUUUGACAUGGAUCGGGAGUGCUCAGAGAUGGGUGUGCCUCUUUUGGGGUCGGUUCACAGGUGGUGCAUGCCUGUCGUCAGCUCGUGUCGUGAGAUGUUGGGUUAAGUCCCGCAACGAGCGCAACCCUUGUUCACUGUUGCCAGCACGUUAUGGUGGGGACUCAGUGGAGACCGCCGGGGUCAACUCGGAGGAAGGUGGGGAUGACGUCAAGUCCUCAUGCCCCUUAUGUCCAGGGCUUCACGCAUGCUACAAUGGCUGGUACAGAGAGUGGCGAGCCUGUGAGGGUGAGCGAAUCUCGGAAAGCCGGUCUCAGUUCGGAUUGGGGUCUGCAACUCGACCUCAUGAAGUCGGAGUCGCUAGUAAUCGCAGAUCAGCAACGCUGCGGUGAAUACGUUCCCGGG
RNAcentral lists this ribosomal RNA (1344 nucleotides) under uncultured bacterium. RNAcentral describes it as "16S ribosomal RNA". It matches the Rfam family "Bacterial small subunit ribosomal RNA", at positions 28 to 1378 of the family's 1533-position model. The record is from RNAcentral.